This is a long non-coding RNA of Musa acuminata AAA Group (dessert banana), 11998 nucleotides long. RefSeq lists it as uncharacterized. The transcript is spliced from 2 exons. The record is from RefSeq and is a predicted model, not a curated record. NCBI's taxonomy places the organism in Eukaryota, Viridiplantae, Streptophyta, Magnoliopsida, Zingiberales, Musaceae.
CCCACAUUUACCCACAUCGUGGGCUCCACCUGAUGCUACGCCAUAAAGUCCAAUUCAGGUCAAUCUAAAACACGUCAGUGUUAACCCUACUCCUCUCCCGUCGUCGGUUUAAAAAUGGCUCGGUCUCUCCCACGGUCUUUUCUCUGCAUCUCCCGCGGACCAGAGGAGACGAUGCCCAAUUAGAGGAGGAAGAAGAAGACGAAGGGAUUGAAGAGAAGGGGUAUAUAGAAGAGGGAAGGAGGAAAGAGGGAGAAGAGGAGACAGGAGGGAAGAGGGGAUGGUGUUCAACGCGGGGUGGGUGACGGCGGUAGCGAGGGCCUCGGCGGAGGCCUGCCAAUAUGUGGCCUGCAACCCGGAGCGGCUGAGCAGCGAGGAGGUGCUCGACCUCCUCUGCUGCCUCCCCCUCCGCCACCUCCGCCGCCUCGCCAUCUGCGUCUUCUCCUUCUUCUGCAUCCCCCCUUCCCUCCCCGACGAACCCCGCAACCGCGGCCGCCGCUACACCUACCGCUAUUCUCUCUCCUCGUCCUCCGCUUCUUCCUCCUCCUCGGACGAAUACGAUUCCGCUGGUGGUGGCUACGACUCGCAUUCUGAUUGAUCAAUCGAUUCCGGUGGAUCUCCUCCCUCUGUACAGUAAUUAUUCCUCUUUCGCCUCCCUUCCGAGUAAUUAAUUGGUGGCCUUGUCCGGGGGAUGUGAUCGGUACCACAAUGAUUCCUGUUUGGAUUGGCAAAUACUGUUUGUCUUAUCAUCAUAUGAUGUUUCGGGUGACCUUGUUGUAGUGAUAGUUAACUUAUCUGCUGGGUGUUGAAUCUUGUUGUUUUCCAAUUGAAUUCUGGUUUGGCUAGUCAUUGUGCCUAACUACUCUUGUCUCUGUGUUAGUUAUGUUUGAUGUGUUAGUUAUUUUUGAAUCCUGGAAGUUAGUGCCAUUGAAAACCAAUAAGAAUUCUCUUUUCCAUCUUGAUAAAUGGUUGCACUUGAUAUUUUGUUUAAUGACUGCUCUAAUCUACACAGGAUGACUCAAAUACUUCUAUAAUUGAUAUUGUGCUUGAAAGACACCAAAAUCAAAUAAAUCAAACUUGAUAUUUCAUGAAAUCUGGAUUUUAAAGUUGUAUGACAUGAUCAAACUCUAUCUAACAUAGGCCCACUUGAAACCAAAGUUUAAGACAAUUGUACAUGUUGGACACUUGUGCUUUUGGACUUUCUAAUGCUACCAAAAACCUUUUUCUUUAGGUCAUCCAAUGAUCCAUUGAGAUGAGGGAGCGAUUUCAAUAUCAGCCUUGUCCCUUAAUGAAGCAUAUGUUUGCUACUUAAAAUGGUUUAUGAUCUUAGCUUUGAUUUUCACCCACAAACAUUAGUCAAAGUGUUACAGCUUUUUGCAUAAUUAUUAGGUGCAUUUGCAUUCUUUAACUUACCAAGCCAUAGUAUAAGUCAUUUUUUUAACCUAAAUAGUCUUCCUUUUCUAGGGAACAUGUCAGAUUCUCCAGCUUUGUUUAAAUUAUAAGAUGCAAUUAUCUGCCUUUACAUGUUUAAUUUCUUGUAAGGUUGUUGAAGUUGAACUGGCAGAGCAGUCAGAUCUGGUUAGCAAUCAAGGAAACACCAUAAGAUCUUCGUUUGAAUGAAAACACAUGCUAUCUGCAGAUCUAGACAUUCUCUUUGUCCAUCUUUAUGGUUCUUGGGUUUAUUAACUUCCUGACUGAUAGAUGGUCAUUUCAAGUAAACGCCCAUCAUAGAACUCUGUUGUGUUUAACCCAGUAGUUGGAGAGAUUUACUAGAAUUGGUUAAAAUUUUACAUCUGUCACAUAUAGAAUAUUAAUGUCAUGUGAUCUCAUAAUAGUGAAAUGCAUGUAUAUUGAUAAUAAAACCCUGGAUUUUUUUUUAAUUUACCUCCUUCCAUUCAAGUAUUAUAAAACAUGCAUAUUAAAUGCUUAUGGUAGACUUAGACUAUUCACUUCAUGAUGACUUGACCACUGGAAUGUCUCCUUAGAGACCAAAGACAGUAUUAGGUAGCUUUAUGCAGUCAUGGGCUUUUAUUGGUGAUCCAUUAGUUAUACUAUCAUUUAUCAUCCUCUUCAAGAUCAAAUUCCGUUUAUUAGUUCAAAGUUGCUUUGUUUGCUUACUAGGUCACUCUUCCUUUCCUCCAUUGUAUGCUUUGUUUUUGUUACUGCACUUCUGAUGCAUCCUAACCUGGUUUGGUCGUGUAACAAUUACUGUAGUAUUUAGACAAACAAUGUGCUCUCCAGUGAUAAAUAUGCACAUGAUGCAAAUGUUAUGUAUAAACAACAGGCUAACAUAUAGACCACUUAUUAUGUUGUUCAGUUGGUAUCAAGGUUUUUAAUUUCAAAUAAUACCGCCCGGUAUGGGCGGUACGUACUGGUCCGCCAGCAAACCGGUACGCAGACCGCCCACUACCAGGCGGAACACUGGAUAUCGCCCCGUAUCGGAUGAUAUGGGGCUAUAUUAGGCGGUAACGGUCAAAAUUUCGAUCAUUACUGCUUGGCACAGAUCGGUAACGAUUGAUUUCGACCGUUACCGCCCGGCACAAGUCGGUAACGGUCGAAAUCAAUCGUUACCGACCUAUAACAGUGUUCCAACAGUCAAAUUGACAAGGUACUAGUCAAGUUUAUGCACGGAAGGGGAAUGUAGUGGAUGAAUUUGAGCAGAUGCAAUAGAGCCUACAUGAUGUAGACAUAGAAUAAAGCUCAUCGUAUUCACAAUCGUCGUAUUAUGGAGAAUCAUACAACCAACGAUAAUAUGGUGAUAGUUGGUCAUACUUCUAUGAGCAACAGUAUAAUAUGGAGCAACAUAUCAGUAGUGAAAAUGGAAUCUUUGACAUUCACUAAUACAUGCCUCAGGAGCCGUUUCGGACAAAUGUGAUUCAUGAUGAUCAACCUAUGAUCAUCACUACAUUGAUACACCAAUGACAUACGGUGUAUCAAUACACUAUGUCGUGGGAUCAAUUUUAGGAUUGGGUCCAACAAACAUAUCAUAUUAAUAUGCAGAUGCUUAGGAUCGAGGACCUUGAUCCACCACCCGUGGAGGCCCGUCAUUCGUUUUGGUGGUAGAAUCAACAAUCAGGUAUAUUUACAUAUGUGAUUAUUUAAUUUAUUUGAAUUUUAAAGUUUAUAUUGUAACAACAUAAUCUAACAAUUCAAAUGAUUUUUCUGUGGAUAUUUUAAUAUUUACAGAAGGAUAAUUCGUAACGGACCGAAAUACGAACAUCGUACAAGGUUAUUCCUUAAAGCCCGAAAAAGAUAUGUGAUACUAUUCUUACCUAAUUUACAUUGAUUUUGCUAAAAUUAUACUAUUACUAUAUUUAUUUCUAACUUAAAAAUUUUAUUCAAAUUUUUUUUUCAGGUAUUUUCGGAGGAUUUUACGCCUAAAUUAGAUAUACCACUCGGUACACUGUAUCGUACCAUACCGAGCAUAGCUCAAAACUCUGAUACGAGACAAAAUUUCAAUCCUUGGUUGGUACUAUUUUGAAGUUCACAGUUUUUGCCUUUCUUCUAUAAAUUCUCCCUAGCUAGUUCAUAACAUAAGGUUUAAUAGUCUAAGUGUUUCUCUACUGCCUGCCACCUGUAAUCUUUCUGAAGAAUAUCCUGAAUGUUUUGAUUGAUGCUCCUUGAUACAGCAAUGAGACAUUAAACUUGUUGCAUAGCAUGUCUAUGCUAACUGUGCUGACUGAAUAAUUUGUAUUAAUGGGACAAGGAUGCUUACCUCUCCACCAUAACUAAUGUUCUGUAUCAAGUACCAAAUUCUCAUGAAUAUAUAGUCAUAAUGGAGACACCACAUUGCAUUUUAUUCUUUGGUUCCGAAACUAUAGCCAAAAGUUAUUUAUUUUCAUCAAGGUUUUAAGUGCCAAUUCAGAUUAAUACGUAUGAGCAUUGAAACAUAUAUCAUAAUAGAUGUAUACAUACAAUUUAUUCUCUGUUUCUUUUAUUCAAUAAUAUUAGGCAAUAUGAGUUGGUAUAUUGGUACACUGGUCCAAUAGGUUAUGAAACCAGCAUCAACAUAAAACCUCUCAAUAGGGAACAAAAAACUAUUCUAUCGGAUUUUUUUCCUUCAAUUGUUUCUACUUAUAUAGCAUUGAAAGGCAUAGUAUUUUACUUGAAAAAGAAGAAACUCAUACCGGGUAGGUUUCCAGAAUUACUGUCUAUUCAAUAUACCUAGCUUUAGUUGAAUAUAACAUAAUACUUGCAGUAUUUGUUUGUUGUGGAAAUAGUUGCAUGUCCACUACAAUUUAGAUGAAGCACUUUUAGCUUCCUUAUAUUUUCUCUCCAAUAUGUAAUUGUUCUAGUAUAUAAAAAAUGGUUUGACACUGUGUGAUAGUUUAUAUAUUUUAUUCUGUAUAAGGCUUCUAUUAUGAUGGGUAUUUUAUACCCAAACAUUAGACUUGGAAGUUCAGAAUUUGUGAUCACUGUCAUGAAGUAGCUGAAGAUAUAUUUAACAGGGAAUGGGGAUGAAAUGAAUAGGUGUACUGUAUCUUAGUGGUCAGUUUCAAAUGAAGAGGUAGAUUAAUUCAUUUUUCCAUGAUAAUAAAUGCUAAACACCAGCAUGAUAUGUGAAAAAUCUACUCAAUAUCCAGGAUGUGAUUAAUUAGUUUUUUUAGUGCAGUACUACUUUUGAGUAUUUUGACUAUUGGUCAAGUCUCAUAGACAUUUUGGCUUCAACUGACUUGUCAUUACCUAGGACAUGAUUCAUGCAAAACACUGUACAUUAUCCAGGGUGGAAUGUGAAAAGUAUUACUCAUAAUACAAGACAUGACACCAAGAGAAUUUGUAGCAUUAACAUAGCCAUGGGUUGAAUUUUCAUGCAUGACUUUGUGUUAUCUGAUGGCUUGCAUGGUACAUGCCACAUGCAAAACAUGGUGAAUGGCUGUGUGUUGACAUAAAUAUUAAAAGAAAAUAAAAAGAAAGUGUAGGGACCAAAAAAUCAUCAAAGAAAAAAAUUUUAAAGAAACCAAAAAGAGAAAAAAAGCUGAUUUUCUCAAUAUAAAAACAUAAGAUGAUUUAAAAUCAGAAAAAAAAUUGUCUCCAAGUUUUGGAUGGAUAACAAGGUUCUUGAUGGAAUUUAUUCCUUAGUGAUCAUUCAAUUACAUAGGAUUCAUUACUACAGCUCCUUAUCGACAGCAAAAAAGAUUGAGAGGGAAGUAGAUGAAGAAAGAAAUGACUAAGGAAUCAAUUAAGCAAAUAUGAAAUUUAUACAACUACACCUUUUCUAAAGAAAUGUGUGUUUUUUUAAUACAGAGGAGUGUUUUUUAUUAAAUGUAAAAUCCCUACUUUUAUUUCCAUUCUUUCUGCCUGAAAUCAUGCUUUUCAGCCAAAACACUGUUAAAAACCUGAUACUGUCCUUCUCCUGUUAUAAUCCUGAGAUCUUCUAUUGUCAUUUUUGGGUGUGAUCAUAACAUUAUUUUGUCUAUUUUCUCUUUAUACUACAAUAUCAGUAUAAGGAUUCCUUGUCAAGAAACAUUCUUUUGUCAACAAACAACAUUAUUCAGUGAAUCCUUCUAUUGUCAUUUCUGUUAUUCUGUUUCUUGUGGACUCCUUGAUGCAUGAGAUUUGUUGCCAAGUAACCCUUGUUUAUUGGUUGAACUGUGAAACAGCUUUCUCCUGCUGAUUCUGAUGUAUGUUUGAGGAGAUGUAGCUUUAGAACCUAAUGUUUAGAUUAGCGUAUGUGAUGCAUGUGUCUGUUAUUUUUAUUGGAUUUGUCUACUUCUCUACCUUGAGGCUGGUUGGCUGAACUCACCUUCUUAUCUUCUUUUCUAAAUGAAAUUACUUUGCAUUUGUGUAUACAUAAUCUCAUUCAAUGUGCUGUGAUCAAAUUGUGUUGAUAAACAUGAUUUUCUUCUAUUCAAGUAUUGUAACUAAUCUGAGUAUUGUUCCACAACCUUCAUCUUGGGUGGGGAUAAUUUAAGAGUGAUGUAGAUUCUGUCUGAAUGUAUGUACUGUCAGAAGAAAUUUUUUUUAUAGUAAAUAAAUUGUACUUGAUUGUUCAAAAGCUAAAGGGUCGUUACUGAGAAUUGUAAAACUGAGGAAAUUAUAAACAUGCUCAUUUGGUUCUAGUCGUAUGCCAUGUUUUUGUAAUAAUUUCUCCUUAGAUUUAAUUUACUUGGUAGUGAUUAUUUUCUAAUGCAUUAAGCUACUUACAUGUGGUUCACAAAUGGUCUGUCCUUUCUCUUUAAACAUUUUGAACCUAUAGUUGGGAACACCCACAUUCAGUUGAGUACAUCAUCAGAGUUUUUGUGCUCAAUGUUUUCUUUGUAGCAGAAUUUACAUCAUAACAUCAACCCUGAAUGUGCCUAUCUAGAGCACAAAAGUAUUUUGAAGUUGCAAAAUUAUAUUAGGCAAACUACAUAUACACCAACUUGAUCAAUUUACCUUUGAUGAUUUAGCAGGGAGAACUAUUUGUGUUAGACCUGAAUACUUUGUGAGGGUAAACGAGAGAUUAAAAUUGAUUUGUUUAUAAUUAAUUAUCAUGAUUUGUACUUGGUUACCAAAUUGGUUUACUGUAAAUAAAGUAAGAAUCCAGGUUAAAAAUGGAAUGUGAUUCUUAAUUAAUUUGACUUGGAGGAGUUUGGAAUUUUUACAUUUUUGGACAGGUAGGGUUAUCUAACUUAUAAAAUCGCUCUUGAAUCUCCUCUCAAGUCACCAGGGAGCGAGACUGACAACAGGGAAGAGGGAGUUGUCAGCAACAGCAAGGAGAGGAUGGUGUGGGAUCUUCAUUAGGGAGAAGAACUGUGAAUUUCAGGACCUAUAUUCAGGGAAGACAUUGGCAUUGCUAAAGAGAGUGAAGGACUUUAUUAUCUUGAAGAGGAUGCUACUUGAAAUGGACAAGUUCAAUUGACAAUAAAUAACACUCCUAGUACUAGUAGUGAAAUAAUAUUGUGGCACUAUAAACUAGGCUACCCAAGCUUUCCUUAUUUGCAAAAGUUCUUACCUUCCUUGUUUAGGAACCAUGAUAGAUCUCUAUUUCAAUGUGAAAUUUGUCAAUUUGCUAAACAUCAUCAUACUGUUUUUUCUUCUUGGCCUUACAAAUAAUCCAAACCAUUUAGUCUUAUACAUAGUGACAUUUGGGGUCCUUCUAAAGUAACAAAUCUGUCUGGAAUCAAGUGGUUUAUAAUAUUCAUUGAUGACUAUACAAGUGUAUGUUGGGUUUACUUCUAAAAAGAAAAAUCUGAUGUUGAAAAAACUUUCAAGAACUUUCAUAACAUGAUCCAAAAUUAAUUCCAAGUAAAAAUCUACGUUUUGAGAACUGACAAUGGUAUAGAAUACUUUUCUCGGUUCCUACAUGUUAAAGCAUAGAAUAAUCCACCAGUCUUCAUGUGUUAAUAGCCACAAUAAAAUGGUACUGCAGAACGAAAAAAUAAACACCUACUAGAAGUAGCACACUCUCGUUUAUUUACCACUUAUGUUCCUAAAUAUCUUUGGGGAGAUGUGAUUCUUACUACUUCAUUAAUCGAAUGCCUACCAAAAUAUUUAAUUUUUAAACACCUCUUGAUCGCUUAUCCUCUAUUUAUCCACAUGUGAAACUGAUUAACUCUCUUCCACCAAAGGUAUUACGAUGCAUUGUUUUUGUCCAUAUUCAUAACCAUGAUCAAAGUAAACUUGAACCUCAUGCAUUAAAGUGUGUUCAUUGGCUACUCCUCGACUUAAAAGGGUUACAAAUGUUAUGAUCCUAUAUCGAAAAAAAUAUUUGUCACCAUGGAUGUCACAUUCUUUGAAAUCCAAACAUCUAAAAAAUUCAUCUUCAUAGAGAGAAUUCUACCUAAGAAGAUUGUUUUUGGGAAUUGUUUCUACCAAUCACUAUUUCUUUGUUAGAUUCAUCUCCUUUUACUCUACCAAAUGUACAUAGCCAACAACUAACUAGUCCUAUUGAUACUCCUAAAUCCAAAUCUCCAACACCACGACCCCAAUCUUCAACUCUACAACAUGCUAUUGUACAGCCUAAUUUAGGGAGAGAUAUCACUAUGUAUCACUAUGAUUGCACCUGAGCUUUGUGUGUAUUUAAGAUAGUGAAAUCUAGAAAAGGUCGAUGUUCACCCUCCUAAAUACUACCAAGAGUAUGAAUUGAUAGCAGAUUCAGAUGUAGACACAGGUAACUCUAUUCUUUCGUCAGAUCUUGAUGUUUCCAUUGCCAUUAGGAAAGGAAUUAGAUCUUAUCCGAUGCAUCUUAUAUUUAAAUAUGUCUUAUCAUAGAUUGUCUCUAGUCUUUAAAGCUUUUGGAACUCACUUGUCUAGUUUAGAAAUUCUAAAAAAUAUACAUGAUGCUUUAUUAAUUCCAGAAUGUAGAGAUGCAAUUAUGGAGGAGAUGAGAGCUCUUCAAAAGAAUGAUACUUGGAGUGUGGUGCAUCUGCCAAAAGGGAAGAAUCUAGUGAGAUGCAAAUGGGUGUUUACUGUUAAAUAUAAGGCAGAUGGUUCUAUUGAAAGAUACAAAACCAGAUUGGUUGCAAAAGGAUUUACUCAAAUAUAUGAUAUUGACUACCAAGAAACAUUUGCUCCGGUUGCAAAACUAAAUACUAUUCAAGUAUUGUUAUCUCUUGCAGCUAAUUUUGAAUGGCCUUUACAUCAAUUAAAUGUGAAAAAUAUCUUUCUUAAUAGAGAAUUGGGGGAAGAAGUAUACAUGGAUCUAUCACUCGGCUUUGAGAAUUUGUAUGGUUUGAAUAACAUGUGCAAGCUGUGAAGAUCUUUUUAUGGUCUUGAGCAAUCACCACGUGCAUGGUUUGAGAAGUUAAUAAAGUAGGCCAUGGUUACACUCAAAGUCACUUCAACCAUCUAAUGUUUUAUAAACACUCAUAUAAGGGAGAUAUUGCUAUUAUUUUAGUUUAUGGGAAUGAGAUCAUCCUAAUAGGCAAUGAUGUCUUAGAAUUGGAGAAUUGAAGCAUAUCUUAGCUAAAGAGUUUGAAAUUAAAGAUCUUGGCCAACUAAGAUAUUUCUUGGGCAUGGAAAUAACGAGAUUAAAGAAUGAGAUUUUUGUUUCAUAAAGGAAAUACACUUUAGACCUUCUAAAAGAAACAAGGAUACUUGAUUGUAAACUUGUGGACACUUCAAUAGAUCUCAAUCAUAAAUUGGGAUGUCCUUCUCAAAGUGUCAUGGUAGAUGCAAUCAAAUAACAACGAUUAUAUCUCAUACUGGUCUAGACUUGGCAUUUGCAAUAAGUGUAGUGAGUCAAUUUAUGCAUUCACUAUAUGAAGUAUAUUUAGAGGCAAUAUAUAGGAUUUUUAGAUAUCUGAAAAGGACUCCAGGCAAGGGAUUAUUAUUCAAAAAGGACAAUCAUAUGAGAAUUGAGGCCUUCACUAAUGCUGAUUGGGUAGGAGGAUUAGUAAGUGAAAGGAGAUCAACUUUAGGAUAUUAUAUAUCACGACUUGGGCUUGAUGGGCUAAUUGGCCUAUCAACUUCUUUUGGCCCAAACCACUGGCCAAAAUGUUUAAGCUAAAAUUGAUAAUAAUAUACUCAUCAGAUCCUUAUAAAUCGAUCUUAAUCUUGUCCAUUUCCGAUGUGGGACUAAUCGGGAUAUUAUAUUGUACAUUUGUUAGAGGGAAUUUGGUGACUUGGAGGAAUAAGAAGCAAGCAGUUGUUGCUAGAAGCAAUGCUAAAGUAGAAUUUAGAGCAGGAGUAGAAGGUAUUUGUGAACUCUUAUGGCUAAAAAUGCUUAUAUAAGAAUUACAAAUAUCCACUGAAACUCCUAUGAGAUAUACUGUGACAAUAAGGUUGCUAUCAACAUUGCUCAUAAUCUAGUGCACCAUGAUAGAACAGAGCAUGUUGAAGUAGAUCGACAUUUCAUAAAGGAGAAAAUUGAAGAAGGAAUUGUUUGCAUGCCUUAUAUUCUUACAGAGAAGCAAUUAGCAUAUAUUCUUACCAAAGGGCUUUAAAGAUCUUUUUAUGAGGAUCUAUCUAGCAAGCUGGGAAUAAGUAACAUCUUCAAGUCAACUUGAGAGGGAGUGUUGAAAAUCCUAUGAUUAAGGGAUUCUGAAUCCCAUAAUUAAGAGAUUUUAUAAUCCCAUAACUAAGGAAAUCUAUCCCUAAUUUUGGGCCUCAGUAUCAAAUCAGCCUAUAUUAUAAGAGAUGAAUUAGAAUGAAAUAUUGUACAGAAUCAAUUUUAUUAGUUGUACAGGUUGUAAUUAGCCUAUAUAUGUCUUCUUUUGUAUAUAGAAAAGAUUAAUGAAUGAAAGAAAUUAUAUUCUUUUGUGUUCAAUAGACAUCUUUAAUCGAACAUUGAUCAAACCAUGUCAAAUUGGUCAAGCUUUCAAUCCUUGCUUAUAAUUAUCAUAAAUUGUCACAUGACAACAUCUUCAAUAUUUCUAGUUAAGUUUCAUAAAUUCUUGAGAGACAAGAAAAAGGAAAUAAGUAUGAAAAAAGGAAGAAAUUAAAUUUUGAUUCUAAUUGAAGAUUGCAAAUCUUGAUCGAAGAUUUUAUCUCUAGAAAGAUUUAUCUUUACUAAUAUUUAUCAGUUAAUAACAUCAUAAAAACAAAAGAUCAUUCUCCAAAUCGGAUAUGGAAAUUAAUAUUCUUUGAAGAAGAAAAGAGUAUAUGAUUUAUUUGAUUUAAUGAAGUAUAAUCUUUCCAUGUAAUGUAUUUUCCUUUUUGUCUUGUAUUUGAUACCUAUAAUAAGGAGCAAAGAGAUUGCAAUAAGAUUAGAGAAUAGAUCAAUAGUCUGAAGUUUGCUUGCCACAUUAUAUGUUAGUGGUGUGAGACCACACAUUUUCUUCCAAUGUUAUGAUUUUAUCAUUCACAUGUAAGAUGCAUGGAGGCACGACACUGUUAUCCUGGACUUCUUUUCUUGAGCCAAAGCUAGUCCUCUGGUACCUCCAUGCAUCUCACUUGUGGAUGAAUUUAAGCGAUACUAAACUUUUGCAUCUGUAUUCUUUCGAAAAAGUGUAUGAAAACUGUUAGGGAAUAUCUUAUGGCUGCUACCGCAUAGAAUUGUAGUCCCAUGAUCAGCUUUAGACCCACAGCGGAUGGUCACAUUGCAUAUGAUAAUUCUGUAUUUUUCAAAUCAUUAUUUCAAAGCUAUGACUACAAGGUAUAUAACCAUCUACAGUUUCUUAUUUAUUUAUGUCUGUCAUUUUUUUAUUGUUUUUUGUUGAUACUAGAGACAUGAGUAAUUAGCGAGUGAAUCAACCACCACUGCUGGUCAUAUUUUCUGACCACCAGAACUACUUGACUAGAUCUCUUAUUUUUGUUGUUGUCACCAUCAAAUUUGCACACAAGCAUGUGCAGCUCUCAUGCUAUAAAUUCAUUCCAGGUCUUUUUUAUGAUAAGAUAGUUCUAAUUUUCUAUGCUGCACUAAUUUUUUUGAGUUGCUCUGCUUUGAAGUUUUAUAUGUGGUGUGAUAUAGCCUGAGACUGGAAACACACCUAUGCUGUAAUUGGUGAACAGGUUUAAUGUUUUUCCAUUCGGCUUAUCUGUGCCAUGUGCCAAUUCAUAUCUGAUGUAAUAGAUACUUUUGAUACUCAUUGCAAUUUAAAUGUUUUUCUUCAAACCAAUGCUAAUCUGAAUGUUUUUUUUAUCAUUUUGGCAGGAAACAAGUUAGCUCAUUAAAAUUAUUAUUGUUUCUUUAAUUACAUUGCCAAAUAAUUUAGUCAAAUAUAACAUUUUGUGGUUGUCUGUAGGCUUGCUUUAUUGACUUGGAUUUGGAGUCUCUUGAGAAGAUGGUUUAUUGCCAUGAAUUAGAUCAGAAGGGAGUGAAUUUCUAUAAAAUGAUGAGGAGAUUUAAGGAAAGUGUUACAUUCCUGGAGUGGAGGUCCAAUUGCAGAAGUAUUCAAUAUUAGUAUUAAAUUUUUCUCACAACUUGCAUCAUGUAUGUAAGAAGACAAGCUGCAAGUAUCCCUCCUAAAGAGAUUUGACAAAUUCUAGUUACCAUAUUUUAGGUUUUAGUAUUUCCUGCUUGUCAACUUUUGUGUAAUUCUGUGGGAAACUGACCCAACAUGAUGUGUUUUCCUAAGGGAUCUGACCAGCUCUAAUUUUACAAUGCUUAAAUCAUAUAAUAAAUGGUAAAUUGACUUCA